RNAcentral lists this ribosomal RNA (955 nucleotides) under fungal sp. Its description in RNAcentral is "eukaryotic LSU rRNA". The stretch from base 427 to 955 matches the Rfam family "Eukaryotic large subunit ribosomal RNA", at positions 1 to 534 of the family's 3401-position model. Lineage: Eukaryota; Fungi. The record is from RNAcentral.
GGGGGCCUUGUGCUCCCGGGCCCGCGCCCGCCGAAGACCCCUCGAACGCUGCCCUGAAGGUUGCCGUCUGAGUAUAAAAUCAAUCAUUAAAACUUUCAACAACGGAUCUCUUGGUUCCGGCAUCGAUGAAGAACGCAGCGAAAUGCGAUAAGUAAUGUGAAUUGCAGAAUUCCGUGAAUCAUCGAAUCUUUGAACGCACAUUGCGCCCCCUGGCAUUCCGGGGGGCAUGCCUGUCCGAGCGUCAUUGCUAACCCUCCAGCCCGGCUGGUGUGUUGGGUCGACGUCCCCCCCCCGGGGGACGGGCCCGAAAGGCAGCGGCGGCGCCGCGUCCGAUCCUCGAGCGUAUGGGGCUUUGUCACGCGCUCUGGUAGGGUCGGCCGGCUGGCCAGCCAGCGACCUCACGGUCACCUAUUUUUUCUCUUAGGUUGACCUCGGAUCAGGUAGGGAUACCCGCUGAACUUAAGCAUAUCAAUAAGCGGAGGAAAAGAAACCAACAGGGAUUGCCCUAGUAACGGCGAGUGAAGCGGCAAGAGCUCAAAUUUGAAAUCUGGCUCCUCCGGGGUCCGAGUUGUAAUUUGCAGAGGAUGCUUCGGGUGCGGUCCCCGUCUAAGUACCCUGGAAUGGGUCGUCAUAGAGGGUGAGAAUCCCGUCUGGGACGGGUGGCCGUGUCCGUGUGAAGCUCCUUCGACGAGUCGAGUUGUUUGGGAAUGCAGCUCUAAAUGGGUGGUAAAUUUCAUCUAAAGCUAAAUAUUGGCCGGAGACCGAUAGCGCACAAGUAGAGUGAUCGAAAGAUGAAAAGCACUUUGAAAAGAGAGUUAAACAGCACGUGAAAUUGUUGAAAGGGAAGCGCUUGCGACCAGACUCGCCCGCGGGGGUUCAGCCGGUACUCGUACCGGUGUACUCCCCCGUGGGCGGGCCAGCGUCGGUUUGGGCGGCCGGUCAAAGGCCUCCGGAA